Molecule: ribosomal RNA, 478 nt
Filed under: uncultured bacterium
Lineage: Bacteria
Description: partial 16S ribosomal RNA
Rfam family: Bacterial small subunit ribosomal RNA
Source: RNAcentral
GACGAACGCUGGCGGCGUGCUUAACACAUGCAAGUCGAACGGUAAGGCCCUUCGGGGUACACGAGUGGCGAACGGGUGAGUAACACGUGGGUGAUCUGCCCUGCACUUCGGGAUAAGCCUGGGAAACUGGGUCUAAUACCGGAUAGGACUCCUGGCUUCAUGGUUGGGGGUGGAAAGCUUUUGCGGUGUGGGAUGGGCCCGCGGUCUAUCAGCUUGUUGGUGGGGUAAUGGCCUACCAAGGCGACGACGGGUAGCCGGCCUGAGAGGGUGACCGGUCACACUGGGACUGAGAUACGGCCCAGACUCCUACGGGAGGCAGCAGUGGGGAAUAUUGCACAAUGGGCGCAAGCCUGAUGCAGCGACGCCGCGUGGGGGAUGACGGCCUUCGGGUUGUAAACCUCUUUCAGCUAUGACGAAGCGCAAGUGACGGUAGUAGCAGAAGAAGGACCGGCCAACUACGUGCCAGCCGCCGCGGUAA